This 460-nucleotide ribosomal RNA is filed under the name uncultured bacterium. RNAcentral describes it as "partial 16S ribosomal RNA". It matches the Rfam family "Bacterial small subunit ribosomal RNA", at positions 338 to 795 of the family's 1533-position model. The record is from RNAcentral.
CCUACGGGAGGCAGCAGUGAGGAAUAUUGGUCAAUGGGCGCAAGCCUGAACCAGCCAAGUCGCGUGAGGGAUGACUGCUCUAUGGAUUGUAAACUUCUUUUAUAUGGGAAUAAAGUGUGGCACGUGUUCCGUUUUGUAUGUACCUUAUGAAUAAGGAUCGGCUAACUCCGUGCCAGCAGCCGCGGUAAUACGGAGGAUCCGAGCGUUAUCCGGAUUUAUUGGGUUUAAAGGGUGCGUAGGUGGGUUGUUAAGUCAGUUGUGAAAGUUUGUGGCUCAACCAUAAAAUUGCAGUUGAUACUGGCAGUCUUGAGUACAGUAGAGGUAGGCGGAAUUCGUGGUGUAGCGGUGAAAUGCUUAGAUAUCACGAAGAACCCCGAUUGCGAAGGCAGCUUACUAAACUGUGACUGACACUGAUGCUCGAAAGUGUGGGGAUCAAACAGGAUUAGAUACCCCAGUAGUC